This 460-nucleotide ribosomal RNA is filed under the name uncultured bacterium. RNAcentral's name for it is "partial 16S ribosomal RNA". It matches the Rfam family "Bacterial small subunit ribosomal RNA", at positions 338 to 795 of the family's 1533-position model. The record is from RNAcentral.
CCUACGGGAGGCAGCAGUGAGGAAUAUUUGUCAAUGGGCGCGAGCCUGAACCAGCCAAGUCGCGUGAGGGAGGACGGCCCUACGGGUUUUAAACCUCUUUUGCCGGGGAGCAACGGGCGCCACGUGUGGCGUCACUGAGAGUACCCGGAGUACAAGCAUCGGCUAACUCCGUGCCCGCAGCCGCGGUAAUACGGAGGAUUCGAUCGUUAUCCGGAUUUAUUGGGGUUAAAGGUUGCGUAGUCGGAUCGUUAAGUCGGUGGUAAAAUUGAGGGGCUAAACCCCUUACCGCCAUUGAAACUGGCGUUCUUGAGUGGAAGAGAGGUAUGCGGAAUGCGUGGUGUAGCGGUGAAAUGCAUAGAUAUCACGCAGAACCCCGAUUGCGAAGGCAGCAUGCCGGCUUCCGACUGACGCUGAAGCACGAAAGCGUGGGGAUCGAACAGGAUUAGAUACCCCUGUAGUC